AGCUCCAAUAGCGUAUAUUUAAGUUGUUGCAGUUAAAAAGCUCGUAGUUGGAUUUCGGGUCGCGUCUUACUUGGUCACCUUGAAAGGUCGCAUCAUUAAGGCCGGCCUUGCUGUCGAUAACGCGCGAGGUGGGCUCUGCCUAUGUCCGCGAAUUCGACGAUGUUACUUUGAGUAAAUUAGAGUGUUCAAAGCAAGCCAACGCUCUGAAUAUGAUAGCAUGGGAUAACACGACAGGACUCUAGGCCUAUCGUGUUGGUCUGUAGGCCGGGGUAAUGAUUAAGAGGGACAGUCGGGGGCAUUCGUAUUCCAUUGUCAGAGGUGAAAUUCAGUGAUUGAUGGAAGACGAACAUCUGCGAAAGCAUUUGCCAAGGAUGUUUUCA
This 380-nucleotide ribosomal RNA is filed under the name uncultured eukaryote. Its description in RNAcentral is "SSU rRNA". It matches the Rfam family "Eukaryotic small subunit ribosomal RNA", at positions 587 to 972 of the family's 1831-position model. The record is from RNAcentral.